MicroRNA precursor from Aotus nancymaae (Ma's night monkey), 102 nucleotides. NCBI's taxonomy places the organism in Eukaryota, Metazoa, Chordata, Mammalia, Primates, Aotidae. The record is from Ensembl.
CAGUCCUUCCUGUCUCAAUUCUUCAGGUGUGGAAACUGAGGCAGGGGGAGAGGCAACUUGCUGAGGUUGCACCGCUGGGAAGUGGAGCAGGGAUUUGAAUCC